UUGAACGCUGGCGGAAUGCUUUACACAUGCAAGUCGAGCGGCAGCGCGGGGGCAACCCUGGCGGCGAGCGGCGAACGGGUGAGUAACAUAUCGGAACGUACCCAUUGGUGGGGGAUAACACAUCGAAAGAUGUGCUAAUACCGCAUACGACCUGAGGGUGAAAGGGGGGGAUCGCAAGACCUCUCGCCGUUGGAGCGGCCGAUAUCGGAUUAGCUAGUUGGUGAGGUAAAGGCUCACCAAGGCGACGAUCCGUAGCUGGUCUGAGAGGACGACCAGCCACACUGGAACUGAGACACGGUCCAGACUCCUACGGGAGGCAGCAGUGGGGAAUUUUGGACAAUGGGCGGAAGCCUGAUCCAGCCAUUCCGCGUGAGUGAAGAAGGCCUUCGGGUUGUAAAGCUCUUUCGGCAGGAACGAAACGGUCUUUUCUAAUACAAGAGGCUAAUGACGGUACCUGAAGAAGAAGCACCGGCUAACUACGU
Molecule: ribosomal RNA, 482 nt
Filed under: uncultured bacterium
Lineage: Bacteria
Description: bacterial SSU rRNA
Rfam family: Bacterial small subunit ribosomal RNA
Source: RNAcentral